Molecule: transfer RNA, 72 nt
Filed under: Microcaldota archaeon
Lineage: Archaea; Nanobdellati; Microcaldota
Also listed under: 1 other name
Description: tRNA-Thr
Rfam family: tRNA
About the family: Transfer RNA (tRNA) molecules are approximately 80 nucleotides in length.
Source: RNAcentral
GCCCCAGUAGCUCAGUGGUAGAGCGUUUGCAUGGUAAGCAAAAGGCCGCGAGUUCAAUCCUCGCCUGGGGCU